Molecule: long non-coding RNA, 516 nt
Filed under: Ananas comosus (pineapple)
Lineage: Eukaryota; Viridiplantae; Streptophyta; Magnoliopsida; Poales; Bromeliaceae
Description: long non-coding RNA (ACOM_LNC002042)
Source: RNAcentral
CGUGGGCGCUACCUAACCGAGUAUGCAAGUGUGUCUCUGCCGAGCUCAAUCAGGCUCUCACAGACUAAAAUCCAAGUAAACAGGGUCCAACUAGUCUAACAACCAAACUCACAUGCCCUAGGCACAAUCUGAUGCAAAAACAGCAAUCUGGGUCUACCGUCAACCUCAACAGCACCCGACAGUCCGAAACAACCUAAACACUGCUGUAAAAAUAAGCUCGACAUCUCAACACGAGCGUAAAAAUAUUCUACACUAUUCUGGGUAUCCACCGCCCACAAACUGCGGUGAUACAAACAAACUACGACUCCUAGAGCUAAAUCUGGUAGUUUUAACAUAUGACAGUGUAGAAGCGCUAGUUUUCUCCUAAGUCAAUUUCAAGUCCAACAUGUAUAAUUUAUCUAACUUAUUACAGCAUGCUCCAAAUUCAGAUUUCAUUUAAUAUGCUAAUCGAUGAAUUCGAGCUAAAAACAUGAUAUAUAACUGCUAAAAAUAUACAUGUUAACUACGCGUACACUU